AUGUUCUUUCUUCGCUGCUCCUACGGCCACCUCAUCUUCUGUGACGAUGAUGGGUUCUACAUUGUUAAUGCGUUCAGCGGCACUAAGGUUGUGCCUCCUUGCCUUAAGUCAGACAACUUCAUUCGCACCAGCUAUGUCACCUUGACUGCCCCUGUUGCAUCCGCUGACUCGCAUCUCCUUGUCGGCAGCGGAGGUUAUCUGUUUCAGUGGCGCAUCGGGAGCGACUCUUGGUUGGAACACUAUCCGAAAGUUCCUUUUCUUAGGAUUGAACAAAUCAUAGCCUUCAAGGGCAAAACAUACACCCUAGGGUCUUUCGGGUCCUUCUGCAUUGUACAAUUUUCGCCCAGUCUCUUGAUUCAGAAGUUUGAAGUUGUGUUCGAGGAAGAUAGAACUGAAGAUCGCUAUUGGACAAAUCAAAAAACAUGGCUUGUGGUGUGGGACGUGCUUCUCUUAAUCAAACUUGAGGCAGCAGGAAGGAUAAGCCCGGAGGCCUUCCACUUCAAGGCCUUCAAGCUCGAGUCGCUGGACGCCAGGAAGAAGAAGGCAAGGUGGGUGAAGGUGGACAGGUUGAAUAACUGGGCCAUCUUUGUCAGCGCCGACGGGCGAUGCGAGGCGUUGUCGUUCAUGAACCCGGAGAGAUGGGGAGGGAGGAGCAACCACAUAUACUUCCCAAGUUAUCAGUCUGAACAACCUUGGGCUGCAGCGCAACUAUGGCAGAGAGCUAACAACCAUUCGACAAGUUCGUGGCUCUUGAAAACUGGAAGCCAGUAA
Molecule: ribosomal RNA, 771 nt
Filed under: Triticum aestivum (bread wheat)
Lineage: Eukaryota; Viridiplantae; Streptophyta; Magnoliopsida; Poales; Poaceae
Description: partial small subunit ribosomal RNA
Source: RNAcentral